AGCCGGGGCGCAGCGGGGCAGAGUAAGCUCCUGCACACCGAAGGGCGCAGGGGCCGAGAUGCAACGGCCAAGCUCGCUCUGAGAGCCAAAGUCCUCGACGUCCCCCUCCCCCCUCAGAGAGCGGUCCCGGGGGAGCGGCGGGUCCUGAGGCGGCCCCACCCGUGGCUCCGGUGUCCCCUCACGGCCAGGGGGUGCCCCCCCCCAAACCCCCGGCAGCCAUUUUGUGUCCCAGACGCUCCUUUAGUGUCGCCCACAGGGACAGCUGUUGGCAACGGCUCAGAAUUCAGCUCUAGGAUGAAAGGGCAUUGGGGCAGCACAUGGAGCCAGCGAGGCGGCCCUCGUGAGGUGCACACGGGCUGUUCAUGGGGGAAUAUGUGCACAGAGGCGAGCCCGCGGACCUUUCUGCCACCAAAGGCAGCUGCCUGAAAACACGGGCACAGGGGAGCUCUCGAGGCUCCCUGGAAAUGCCGGCAGAGCCUCCAUGGCCCUGAGCAAGCUGGUGUGACAGAGAACAGCAUUGACAGGGUCCUCCAGUACUGCCCCUUCGGGUAGAGCAGCAGCUCUGACAUCUUCUAUCAAAACAGUGCAGCUCUUCCACAGAGGGAGCUGGGGUGGAAACUCUUGGCUGCUUCUGUGAUACUGCUACGGAGAACUGACAGGGAUUAACUGCAAUACCACUGGAGCUCUCCAGGUGACUGCAGGACAAACCACACACACCAUGGGCAGCAGGAAGCCACUGUGCUGGGCUGCAGCUGCUGCAGUGCAAUUUCCAUUGUCAGCUGAAAGGUACUUACAAAGUGAGGGGAGAACCUCCUGUCGAAGUCACGCUGAGCCAGGAUUCCUCCUUGCCCGGGAGCACUAGUGAAACCAACCUGGAAGAGGCAGGGAAAAGACAAGCUUUACCACUUUCCUUCUUGGGGCAGAGCUGGGCAGGGUGAGAGCUCAGGGACAUCGCCCCGACCAGGCUGCUGCAAGAGCACUGUCAGGGGUAUCUGCAGGGCUCCUCUAAAUCGUCCACUUACCACGACCUGUCCUCCCUCCUGUGCCAGGUACGUGAUGGUGGCAGAGGUGAAGUUGAAGUAACCAGCUUUGAGAGGCCGCAGAACCACGGUGUGGGACACGUUACUCGCUCUGGGAGCCGGGCGUUAAGGAAAACGGUUGGAUUUCAUUACAGGAAGAAAACACAGGUGGAAAAAUCAGUGCUGCUGACAGAUCCGAAUGCUUAUGGUCACAGACAGCCCGACCCACCUCCCCCCCGAGGCUGACCCAGCUGCUCCUCCCCAGGCAGAGGAACUUAGGGACCUGGUCCUGUCUGCAAGGAGCUUUCAUUUUACAAGGCACCAUCCAGAAGAGCGGGCAUUCGGAUUGAGCACCCUGUCCAGGCUCUGGCAUGUGGGAAUUUCUGGGACAGGGCAUGAAGACAGGAUGAAGCUGCAGGAUGCUCAGGGGGAAGAAAAUUUCAAACCAUUAAAAGAUACGGAGCGAUCCUGUCCCACUUGACAUUGAGCAUGCCAGAGACGAUGCCAAAAUCCUCUGGGGGGAAGGAAUCAUCCGACAGUUCCACAUCCAGGGCAGCACUGAACACAACAAAGGCAGGGAUGAGAACGGAAUCUUAAGACUUGGCAUCUGCUCAUGGGAUCUGCAGCAAAGUGGGCUGACAGUUCCCUCCUGACCCAAUGGAAGAACUGAUUUGUGAAAGAGGAAAAGUCACCAACACAACAUGGCAAGGAGAGUUGAGGUGUCUUAUGGAGAGACUGCAGAGAGAAGGCACAGCUGAGAGAAACAGCCACAAAGACAGGAAAUACACUGGUUUUUCCACAAUAGAAUUUGGCAGAUACCAUCCCACAGACACACCCUUUGGCCUAAAUAAUAAACAAAUCCCACGUAUAAAGUUACAGUAUCUCAUUAAUAUUGUAAGAGUCCAAUAUUGCAACACCAUAAAUACUCCUCUCAGCAGUACUGCACUCAGCAUACAUGACUCUGCCUUUAAAAAAAUCUAAAAAAAAACCCCAAAAAACAAACACUUUAAUACUCUCCUGCAUUUUGUCCAAUCAGCUUUUCAUUCUGAGAAUAAAGCUUUUUACCAGCAUUGUGGAAGUUCUGUUUUACCUUUGUCAGGUCUUUAGAGAAGUCCUGACAGGAAAAAGGAAUUUUUAUUAAAAAAAAAAAAAAGUGCAAAAGAGCUCACAAAGCCAGUCAAGAGAGCUGUGUGCAUGGGGAGCAGAGUGUCCCAGGACACCACAGGAGCUACAUGUCCAUGCUGGACUGACAGCUUGAGCAGCCAUGAGUGGAAAGCAGGGACAAGGGAAGAGGAAGGGAAAGGCAAAUUGCAGGGUCAACCCUUCAGGCACUGCUGGAAAGCUCAGAGUUCAGGGGAGCAAAGGCACCAGCACAUCAUGGAGCUCAGAAAUCACCUCCUGCCCUGUAGCCACACACAGAAUCUUUGCUCCUGGUUCGUACUGAAGCCUGGACAGGGCUUACCUUGAGCCAACAUUGUAGAUGUUGUACUGCAAAGUCAAGUCCUUGCCCUCCACCGCGUAUCUGUUUAACAGAGAUUUGGAGGCCAGGAGCCUGGCACCAUCCUCACAGCGGGACACAGACACCAGGGCACACAGGGUGAGGAGCAGGAGCUUCAUCUGGAAACACAGGUCAGUGGAAUGUCGCUGAUUGUUUGAAAUCUCUGAACUCUCUUCUGGGAGGCUGUAAGAAUUGGGAUAGCCAUGUCCCAGAUCUGCAGCCAUGGAAGAAAAGUCAACAGUUUCCUCCCCUUUCAAAGCCCCAGCCAGUAUCACGGCCCUUUACAGAAUCAUCGAACAUCCUGAGUUGAGAGGGACCCACAAGGAUCAUUGCAUCCAACUCUGGGCUCUGCACAUCUCAGUAAUGAGCAAAGCUCUUGGAUCACAAAGCCUCUUCCAGUAACUUUGAAAGCUCUGGAAAUUAACAGUUUCACCAGUUUUAGCAAUUAACAGUUAAUUGCCCUUGUGAAGCCUGGCUGCUUUCCAGCACCGUCUUACACAACAGUUAGUUCUUCACAGAAAGCACCAGCUCCUCACUUCCAACAUUUGUUCUUAUUUCCUAUUUCCAGCCACUGAGGAAACACCAACUCCCUCCAACAGCCUCGUCAACUCCCUCCAGCAGCCUCACGAUCCCCAAAAGUCCCUCUCCAAGCCAGGUGUCCCAAUUCACCCAAACUCAGUGCCCCAGGAGCUGCCCUGUUGAGAGGACAAGGAGACCAUAGGGACAUUAUAAACAGGACCCAUGAGGACACUUGGUGGGGCUGAGAAAUGCAAAAACUGCUCCAAUGUCAGGGGCUCCACUCUCCACAGUCACAGAGUGGUUAGGCUUGGAUGGGAUCGUGAAGCCCAUCCAGUUCCACCCAUCUGCCAUGGGCAGAGACACCUUCCACUAGACCAGGUUGCUCCAAGCCUUGUCCAACCUGGCCUUGAACACUUCCAGGGAUGGGGGAGCCACAGCUUCUCCAAGCAGCCUGUGCCAGGGCCUCACCCCCCUCACAGGGAAGAAUUUCAACCCAGUAUCCCAUCUAACCCUGCCGUCUGGUAGUGGGAAGUCUUGUCCAAUCACUCCAGGCCCUUGUCCAAAGUCCCUCUCCAUCUCUCCUGGAGCUCCUUUAGACACUGGAAGGGCUUUAAGGUUUCCCUGGAGCCCUCUUUUCUCCAGGGAACAUCCCCAGCUCUCCCAGCCAGUGUCCAGAGCAGAGGGGCUCCAGCCCUCAGACCAUCUCUGUGGCCUCCUCUGGACCUGCUCCAGCAGCUCCACAUCCUUCCUGUGCUGCAGACCCCAGGGCUGGAGGCACCACUGGGGGGGGGGGGGGGGGGUGUCUCACCUCAGCAGAGCAGAGGGGCAGAAUUUCCCACCUCACGUGCUGCCCACACUGUGGGGAUGAGCCCAGCUCAGCGUUGGCUUUCUGGGCUCCCAGUGCACGUGGCUGGGUCACGUUGAGCUUCUUGUCAACCCACGCCCCCAAGUCCUUUUCUUCUGGGCUGUUCUCCAUCCAUUCUCCCUCAGCCCGUGUUUGUGCUUGGAGUUGCCCUGGCUCACGUUCAGCACCUGCCCUUGGCCUCGCUGAACCUCCUGGGUUUGUCACGGACCCCCCUGCAGCGCUGCAGCCCGGCCCGCUGCCUGUGCCAGAGGCCCCUUCCUUCCCCCCAGUCCUGCCCUGCUCCGGCCGCAUACCAGCGUGUCCAGCCCGGGUGACCUGCUCCUGCCCAUCCGCGCAGCACAGGGGCUCAGUCCGGGUUCACCCACCGCUGUCUGCGGGAGACACCGACCCCCUCCAGCGACAGAGCCUGGUCGGUCCCUCCCGGCCCCUCAGAGCCCACAGCCGAGCCUCCCCCAUAGAUCCUCCCCACCGCCUCCCCGUCCGCCCCGAGCGCCGAGGACACGGCCCCGAUCGGCCCCGAUCGGCCCCGGCGGCCGCUCCGCCCUCACCGUCUGUCUCCGCCGCCGCCACAGAGCCAGGUCAGCCCAGACGCAGCGGAAGUGACACACUGAACAGCGCCCCGCGGCCUCCCAUGCCCGCCGGGAAAUGGAGUACGGCCUCGCCCUCCAGCGGGAACUCCGCGCCUGCGCAGAACGAGAGCCCUGUGCUGCCCCCUGGUGGCGGAGGGCGGGACCGGGGCGGGGGAGGAUCGGGGGGAAGUUUCCCAAGGGUGGGACGCACGGACCCCCAGACUGUCCCUCCCUGCGCUGGGGUCGCUCUGCUUGAUUCACCCGCCUCAGACAGGCUCCAGCUUUGUGCUGCCCUCGGAUCAGAACGCGUCCCGAAGGCAGUAACAAAACAAACCUGCCGGCAUUCCCAGGGAGCCUCGAGAGCUCCCCUGUGCCCGUGUUUUCAGGCAGCUGCCUCUGGUGGCAGAAGGGCCCCCAGGGCCUCCUCUGUGCACAUAUUCUCCCAUGAACAGCCUGUGGGCACCUCACGAGGGCCCCCGCGCUGGCUCCAUGUGCUGCCUCAAAUGCUUCCUUGGAGCUCCCUACUCACAAUCUUUGCCAACGACUCUACCUGCACCUUCUUUCCUCUUUCCCUGCUGCCCCGGGCAAAGCUCCUCCAAGCUGCUGACUAUGGAAAGCAACCCAGAGGUUCGAUCCCUGUUGGCCAUUGAGGCCACAUAACCACAGGUUGGGCUUCUCCCUCCCAGCCCACCCCUGUGCAGGGUUUGCUGCAGCCAGGGCAGGCUGGUCCCAGUCCUCAAACACUGACACGGCACCUGUCCUGGGCCUGAGACCCUCAGAGAUUUUUCUGUGGAGCAGGAGCAUUUGCUGGAAAUGUUUCAUUCCUCCCCAGUAAGCAAAUUUCUUGGUGCUUCUGGUCAGUAUGGAAUGGCUCUCAGGACACAAGAGGAGAUCACAUAGCUCCAUUGGCACGCACAGAACCGUAUUCCGGAAGAUUCCGACUCCCAUGUUAAGAAGGGAUGAAGCCACACACUAAUCAGGGGUUCCAAGAAGGUGCUGUGCAGGCAGCCUUUGGAAUUGGAGGAGCAUUUGAGGUGAGCUGGGCCAUAACAAAGAGGAACUGAGGACCGCUGAUUCCUCACAAGCACAGUGGUAGUUUUGUGUCUUUUGGUACCUUUGGUGCCACAGGCAAUGACGGCUGCAGCGUCCUGUGCUGGAAUGGGUGCAGGGCAGGGGAGCAGGAGGCCAUGGAGCUUUUGAGGCCAGGGUUGUUGUGGUGACGGAUGUGAUACUGACACUCCAGUGUGUAACUUUGGCUGGAUAGAAGCCCCAGUGCAGCACAUUUUCCAGAAGUUGAUGGCAUUGCUGCCCCUUGUUGAUUAUCUCACUCCCAGUGGCCCAGCAGGAUCUCUCUUGAGCAGUGCAGCUCUGGCCGGAAGUUGUUCCUAAGUGUGGAACACAAAAACCCCUAGUCAAGGUAAAAUCAUGUGUUUUGGAGAUGGAAAAGGAAAAUCAAACACUUAUGUCAUGGGAGUAUCUUUCCUGGGUAUGUAUAACCACACACACCCCUCUUCAGUAUAAAGUGAGUUACUGAGGUUUGUUCUUUAUUUUACUCUUUAAAGUUUUACACUUCAGUUGCAGUUUUAUUGACGAAGCAACUGUGGUGUGCAACAGCAGUGCAAGGACUGGAGCUGUUGGGGGCGAUAUCCAUUUUUUCUGGAGAGGGGGAGUGUGUCUGGUUUAGGCAUUGUUAAUUUAAUGAGCUGCCGGUCGUGGGAGCUCUUUCCCUUGUCUUGUGCCUCUGGGAGAUUGGAGUGAGAUGAUGUCUGUUGAGACAACCAAAUGUCAGAGUGAGGGAUGGGCAGUGGUGCAGUGGAGGAGUAGGGUGGGUGGGCAGUGGUGCAGUGGAGGAGCAGGUGUGGGGAAGAUGAGGGAGUCCAUGGGGGAGUCCCACCCCGAAAAGUGUCACAGCCCAAAAACGCAUGAAAAUUCAUGGAGAGGGAAUAAAAACUAUUAAACUGUUCAGAGUGUUGAGAGAGUUGAAAUAAAGAGAAAUAUCUCAUUGUUAUAUAGAUUGAAAAUAAUAUUCAACUACAAAUUUUAAAAAGGAUUUAAAACUAAAAAAAGUUUUAUGAAACUAAAAAAACUACAUAAAAGCAUCUUAGAGUUAUAUAUGAAGGAAUUUAAAAAAGAAAAAAGCCUGAAUAGCUAGAACCAUCUACUCUUGUUAUGUGUUAUAGUCAAAGGAGAUGAUAUAUGUAGCCUAAAUAGAGAUUAUACAUAAGUGUAAAUAGAUACUAAAUAGAUAUCUGGAAGUGACCAAUGUGUAAAUAGAUGUAAGUGUAAAUAUCUAAGUCCAAAUAACACUCUAGGCUAAAUGUAUUUUCUGUGCAAUAAGUGUUAAUAUAUGAUCUAAAUAUAUAAAGUCUAAACAGGCAUAGUCUGAAUAGAUACAUAAAAGUGUAAAUAGAAGUAAGGCCAACUAGUCAUUCUACACAAGUGUAAAUACAUAUACGUAAAUGUGUCUCUGUCUAAAUAGUCUCAUCUAACUGAAAAUAGCUGAGCUAGAGAAAUAUAUCUAUGCCCUAAACCUAUCUGUGUCUAAGUAGCUGUGUGUGAAUGUAAAUGUGUGAGUGGGCACAGGCAGACAGCUGGGACAGCCACAAAUCCAUGACUAAAACAUAAGGAGUAAAUUCAUUUCCCUUCCUUCACUAACUGGGGGAUCCCUAAACAAGCCCCAGGCAGAGGCACCCAGGUGGGGACACUGCCAUGGUUAAACUCAGUCCAUGCCAGACGAUUCCUAGCUGGUGGUCCCAGCGGCAAGAUCACUGAGCCAUGUCCAAUCCUCCUUGCCAGUCUCCUGCUUUUAACUGAUUUUCCCCCUUGCUCAAGAAACCGUGGCUGCUGGGGCUGGAGAUGUGGGAUAGGGAAUUUACAGAGAUACAUAAUAAAGCUUAAAGAAAGAACAAACUUGUAAACAUAUAAUGCUCUGAAUUAACUGUCUCAUCCCUCCUGUCAAGGAAUUAAACCACACAGCUAGUCAGGCACCACUGAGAUGUUGUGCGAUUCAAUGUAUGAAGUCCUGAAGAUGCUGUGUUGUCCUCCAUGCUGUGUGAUCCAGCAGUCCUGUCCAAGUAGCACAUCCUCUCUAGCUCAGAACAGCAUUUAUGAUGUCGAAGAGUGUAGCAGAAUGCUCUGCCUGGAUGGGAAUAGAGCAGCUCAAACUUCAUCUUAUGUACAAGUUUUCAGUGGUGGAUUAAGCCACCAGAGUCUGCUGGUUUUAGUGUUCAGGGCUGAGAUCAGCUUGACCAAACUCUCAGGAGUAUAUGCAGGACAGGUGCUCCUUGAGUGAGGCCGGGAGCAGCAGGAGUGUGCAGGAUCUGAUAUGGAAGCGAGAGGCAGAAGUGUUGAGCAGGAGAAACCAAAGAGCUGAUCACACCUUUUUCAGCAGCAAAGCAUAUUUUGCUGAGUAAGCCUGCCAACACAUAAUGUAAAAGUUAAUGUGACAGUCAAUGACUUUAUCCUAUAAAAGGCCAGUCUCGCCUUUUCAUGGUGAAGACUUCAGCACACCUUCCUAAGGCGUGUGAAGAUUUUUCCCUUGAGUGGGGAUGCCCCUCAAGGUUAUGCCUCGAGGCCGAGUGAAAGAGAUUUGCCCACAGUUGCUGGUAUGGGUGAGUAACAUCAAUCUCUACUUUAUAAUUGUUUUUUCUAACUUUAGUAUAAUUGCUUCAAUACUGCCUCAAAAGUAGUGCUCUAUGCUAGAAGUUACAGCUACCUGUCCUGUGUACUAGAUAAUUCUGACUAAGGUCUUUUUGUCUUAGCAUUAUCAUUGUAAUAAAAUUAAAGAAUUAAUUUAUUUUAUUUAUAUAAAUAUAUUUGUUUUACCAUCCUUAAUCCUGCAGGACAAAGGUGUAUAGAGAUAGAGUUACACCUGUGUGAUGCUUUAGACAUAAACUGUUGACCAAGUCUGGGGGAGGGAUUGGAUUUAGCCACACUCAACUCCUCUAUGAGAAGGAGUUUAGAAAACCAAGGGGUCCUUUUUGCACCUUGUGACACAACGGGAGGGCUUCUCUAAUAAACUUUGCCUGAAUCUCCCACUCUGCCCGUGACAAAGAGGGAAGUACUUCAUCAGUAAUCAAUGUUGUAAGAUUCCUUGAUAUAUAGCAGUUACUCCCAAACUUAAGGCAACAGCUGCCUUGAAUGUCCAAGUUAAACCUUGCAUGAGGCCACUUGCCAGCUGCUCCAUAGUCACUACUGCUCUGAAAGAAUAAUAAUAAGUUAGUUACAAUAGAAACCUACACACAAGUUUAUAUAUAUUGGUCCUGCAGAAAUGUAUUCAAGGUAUAUGCUUGCUCUGUGGCCUACAAAACUCAAGAAGCCAGGUUGUGAUAAGGGAGGAAAACAGGAGUGUCAUCUCUGUCCAGUUAUACAUACAGUGUUGCUCCAGCUCCUCCAGAUAAUAUUGCUCCAGGCUUGGGAACUUGAGAUGGAGCAAUUGCCCACAGAGAUUGAAGGGCUGUGGUUUGUACUUUUUAGAUUGAACUUCUAUUUAAUGUUGGGCUUGUGUUAUAGGUUAUAAAUCCAAUAGAGGAAUUUUUCUUCCCCUGCUCCACGGUAAGAAAAUGGAGUGAGUGGGGGCAAGGGGGUCAAUUAGCCUUACAAAAGAACCUAUAUGGCCAGACCGCAUUCCUAACGGAUGGCCCGUCAGAGGCUGGGGGGAGAGGGGAGGAGUUUUGGGUGGGGGUGGCUGACUCUUCUCCGAGGGGAGAGAUCAGACUGCAGAGUUCUCUCUCUGGGACGGAGACAGGGUCUGUGUCUGGGCAUUUUUUGGAGAAAAGGCCUGGAAGCCGGUCUUUCUGGCUUUUCGUCCUGAUGAGGCCUGACCACCGGCCUCGAUGGGCUCACACGCUGCCUUGUGACUCCAGCUGGCACCUACUGGGUUUUCAUCAGAGAGUUGUGUGCUUGCUAGGAGAGAAGGGAAGAGCCUUGAAACACCGUCAUCUGAGAACGACAGUGAGUCCCAUGGGGGUGGACUGCUUUUCCUUCUGCCCUUCUUCCACUGGGGGAAGGGUCUCUGUUUUCUUUUCGGCUUCUCCCGCGGUCCGAGACCACCCCCCAGACCCCUCCCCCCGGUGACCGCCAGAGCCCGACUGCGCCCCCUGCAGGCCAGCACGGAGAACUGCAGGCUCUGCACCUCCAGCGACCCAACAGCGCCCCCUGCCGGCCGUGAUAGAACUGCGCUGAAGGACAGAGAAGUAUUCAGACCUUUUCUUUUGUUUGAGGGGAACUUCUGGGUACAGGACUAUUGUUUAGUUGUUUUUGUGUUCUGUUACUGUUCUUGCCAAUAUACAUAUAUCUUUUAAUAAAGGGUUGUUAUUUCUUCUUUUUUUUCCCACA
Molecule: long non-coding RNA, 9807 nt
Organism: Pseudopipra pipra
Lineage: Eukaryota; Metazoa; Chordata; Aves; Passeriformes; Pipridae
Exons: 5
Source: RefSeq, a predicted model, not a curated record